RNAcentral lists this long non-coding RNA (1335 nucleotides) under Sorghum bicolor (sorghum). RNAcentral's name for it is "long non-coding RNA (SBIC_LNC015677)". The record is from RNAcentral. Lineage: Eukaryota; Viridiplantae; Streptophyta; Magnoliopsida; Poales; Poaceae.
AGCUAUGGAUCAUAAGUUGUUGCAAUAUCUUUAAAAAUUGACGGUACACAUGCUUUUUAAAUAAGAUCUCAUCUCUGAGUUAGAGUAAACUGUUAAGACUUAAAACUUACUUACUUUACCUUCACCAUGGGACUUGUAACCGUCACUUCUGUCUUGAGUGGUUAAAAGAUAGAACAGUCUAGUCAAGUGCCAUGUCUCUUAUUCUUGAUCAGCUAUAGCUCUGGGGUUUUUGCAGAUUUUCAAAUAAAACUCAGAGAUUCCUUGUAUGACUCUCUCAUAUCUCACUUUUGUGGUAUUUCUAGAUCCUUACCAAGGCAGUAAUGGUAUAUGCCUUCUCUCAAGAUAUGUAGUAUUUGUGGUAUAAAGCAUAGUGACAUUGUCUUCUCUCUCACCCUACUCUAAUAAGGCUUUAAUAUCUGGAGCUCAUAGGUGGGAGAUAAAGUAUACAUACUUACAAGACAUUUAUUGCAUAGUCAAACCAUGGAUCCAAAGAAACAAAUCAAUAAGCCAAAUCAAGAUGUGCAUGUGUGGCGAAUGAAUGAUGUAUGGUGAUGAUGGUGAUAACAAUGGUGAAAACAAUGGUGGUUGAAGUCUAAUUCUACUUUUACUCUUUAAGGGGAUGCAUACCUUCCUUGCUUUUUAAACUUUAUGAGGAGAAUGAGAUGCUCUUCUUUUUCUUUUCUCUUAGGUGGGUAUCUUGUACCCCUAAUUCUACUGUCGGACACUUGUCCAUUUUUACCUCUCGUCUCACUUUUUCUUUUCUUUCGAGGUUCCGAGCACUUGCUCCUUUUUAUUUCCUCGUAUAUAUUUUUUUUAGAGCACUCAUCUCUUGAGAUAAUGUAGCAAGUGGUAGUAACAAGAUAACUUGAGCAUUUAUUUCACAAGGGAAAACAGAAAUAUUUUUGGCUAUUCUCUCCCGGAUUAGGAGUACAAUAUUUUUUUGGUGUUUCUGGAGAUGGAAAUGGAUGGAUUUAUGUGGAUGGUACUUCCGGAGUACAAGUAGCAUAUAUGAGUGAACGUGCAAGUGAAUCUUGAUUUUAACCACAUGACAAGCUCCUAAGGGUCUACACAGCUUGACCACACUCAAUGCUCAUAAGCAGUAAAUAUUAAAUGUGUGGCUCAAAGUCUAGCAAGCAUGUAUAUAUGGCUAUGGUAGGAAUUUAAACUCUCAUCAUACAGGAACUCAUCAUGCAACAUUUUAAAGAUUUUCAAAGAUAAAAUUCUCCAGAAUUCUAGCAUUUCUAGGAACAGAUAAACAGCAGCUCAACCUUCCCAUAUCGUAUCCGUUAACAACUUAGACUUCACAUCAAGUUUUCAUCCCACAAGUUUAGGUCU